This 375-nucleotide ribosomal RNA is filed under the name uncultured bacterium. RNAcentral describes it as "bacterial SSU rRNA". It matches the Rfam family "Bacterial small subunit ribosomal RNA", at positions 521 to 896 of the family's 1533-position model. The record is from RNAcentral.
UAAUACGUAGGGGGCAAGCGUUGUCCGGAAUCAUUGGGCGUAAAGAGCGUGUAGGCGGUCCGGUAAGUCGGCUGUGAAAGUCCAGGGCUCAACCCUGGGAUGCCGGUCGAUACUGCCGGACUAGAGUCCGGAAGAGGCGAGUGGAAUUCCCGGUGUAGCGGUGAAAUGCGCAGAUAUCGGGAGGAACACCAACGGCGAAGGCAGCUCGCUGGGACGGUACUGACGCUGAGACGCGAAAGCGUGGGGAGCAAACAGGAUUAGAUACCCGUGUAGUCCACGCCCUAAACGAUGUCAACUGGUUGUCGGGGAAGUAAUUCCUUGGUAACGAAGCUAACGCGUGAAGUUGACCGCCUGGGGAGUACGGCCGCAAGGUUA